GACGAACGCUGGCGGCGUGCUUAACACAUGCAAGUCGAACGGAAAGGCCCUGCUUUUGUGGGGUGCUCGAGUGGCGAACGGGUGAGUAACACGUGAGUAACCUGCCCUUGACUUUGGGAUAACUUCAGGAAACUGGGGCUAAUACCGGAUAGGAGCUCCUGCUGCAUGGUGGGGGUUGGAAAGUUUCGGCGGUUGGGGAUGGACUCGCGGCUUAUCAGCUUGUUGGUGGGGUAGUGGCUUACCAAGGCUUUGACGGGUAGCCGGCCUGAGAGGGUGACCGGGCACAUUGGGAAUGGGAGAAGGGCCAGGCUCCCUAGGGGGGCAAGAGGGGGGAAUAUUGCCAAAUGGGGGGGAACCCGGAGGAGGAACGCCCGGUGGGGGAAAGAGGGCUUUGGGGUUGAAACCCCUUUCGCCUGGGGCGAAGGGUGGGGGACGGGAAAUGGUUAAAAAAGCACGGCUAAAUAAGUG
RNAcentral lists this ribosomal RNA (468 nucleotides) under uncultured bacterium. RNAcentral describes it as "partial 16S ribosomal RNA". It matches the Rfam family "Bacterial small subunit ribosomal RNA", at positions 28 to 507 of the family's 1533-position model. The record is from RNAcentral.